This 250-nucleotide ribosomal RNA is filed under the name uncultured Paracoccaceae bacterium. RNAcentral describes it as "uncultured Rhodobacteraceae bacterium partial 16S ribosomal RNA". It matches the Rfam family "Bacterial small subunit ribosomal RNA", at positions 496 to 745 of the family's 1533-position model. The record is from RNAcentral. Lineage: Bacteria; Pseudomonadati; Pseudomonadota; Alphaproteobacteria; Rhodobacterales; Paracoccaceae.
GCUAACUUCGUGCCAGCAGCCGCGGUUAUACGGAGGGGGCUAGCGUUGUUCGGAAUUACUGGGCGUAAAGCGCACGUAGGCGGUUUAAUAAGUUAGAGGUGAAAUCCCAGGGCUCAACCCUGGAACUGCCUUCUAAACUGCUAAACUUGAGUUCGAUAGAGGAAAGUGGAAUUCCUAGUGUAGAGGUGAAAUUCGUAGAUAUUCGGAAGAACACCAAUGGCGAAGGCGGCUUACUGGAUCGUUACUGACG